AGUGAACGCUGGCGGUAGGCCUAACACAUGCAAGUCGAACGGCAGCACAGUAAGAGCUUGCUCUUACGGGUGGCGAGUGGCGGACGGGUGAGGAAUAUAUCGGAAUCUACAUUUUCGUGGGGGAUAACGUAGGGAAACUUACGCUAAUAUCGCAUACGACCUACGGGUGAAAGCAGGGGAUCUUCGGACCUUGCGCGAUUGAAUGAGCCGAUGUCGGAUUAGCUAGUUGGCGGGGUAAAGGCCCACCAAGUCGACGAUCCGUAGCUGGUCGGAGAGGAUGAUCAGCCACACUGGAACGGAGACACGGUCCAUACUCCUACGGGAGGCAGCAGUGGGGAAUAUUAGACAAUGGGCGCAAGCCUGAUCCAGCCAUACCGCGUGUGUGAAGAAGGCCUUCGGGUUGGAAAGCCCUCUUGUUGGGAAAGAAAAGCAGCAGGUUAAUACCCCGCUGGUCUGACGGUACCCAAAGAAUAAGCACCGGCUAACUUCGUG
This 492-nucleotide ribosomal RNA is filed under the name uncultured bacterium. RNAcentral's name for it is "partial 16S ribosomal RNA". It matches the Rfam family "Bacterial small subunit ribosomal RNA", at positions 29 to 507 of the family's 1533-position model. The record is from RNAcentral.